CCUUCGGGAUGCCGGCGAGCGGCGGACGGGUGAGUAAUGCCUAGGAAUCUGCCUGGUAGUGGGGGAUAACUCGGGGAAACUCGAGCUAAUACCGCAUACGUCCUACGGGAGAAAGUGGGGGAUCUUCGGACCUCACGCUAUCAGAUGAGCCUAGGUCGGAUUAGCUAGUAGGUGAGGUAAAGGCUCACCUAGGCGACGAUCCGUAACUGGUCUGAGAGGAUGAUCAGUCACACUGGAACUGAGACACGGUCCAGACUCCUACGGGAGGCAGCAGUGGGGAAUAUUGGACAAUGGGCGAAAGCCUGAUCCAGCCAUGCCGCGUGUGUGAAGAAGGUCUUCGGAUUGUAAAGCACUUUAAGUUGGGAGGAAGGGCUGUCGGCUAAUACCCUGCAGUUUUGACGUUACCAACAGAAUAAGCACCGGCUAACUUCGUGCCAGCAGCCGCGGUAAUACGAAGGGUGCAAGCGUUAAUCGGAAUUACUGGGCGUAAAGCGCGCGUAGGUGGUUUGGUAAGUUGGAUGUGAAAGCCCCGGGCUCAACCUGGGAACUGCAUCCAAAACUGCCUGACUAGAGUACGGUAGAGGGUGGUGGAAUUUCCUGUGUAGCGGUGAAAUGCGUAGAUAUAGGAAGGAAC
RNAcentral lists this ribosomal RNA (634 nucleotides) under Pseudomonas sp. KSU-7. RNAcentral describes it as "bacterial SSU rRNA". It matches the Rfam family "Bacterial small subunit ribosomal RNA", at positions 77 to 707 of the family's 1533-position model. The record is from RNAcentral. Lineage: Bacteria; Pseudomonadati; Pseudomonadota; Gammaproteobacteria; Pseudomonadales; Pseudomonadaceae.